GAUUUCUGAAUAUGUGUUUCUAGCCGGCCACGGUUUCGUGUGUUAGUGCAAGAAAUACUGUUCAUCCUUUUACUCUAUUCCAAAUGAUCUUAACUGAUUCUUUGAAAUAGGUAAAUCGUUUACUUUGAAAAAAUUAGAGUGUUUCAAGCAGGCUAUAUGCUAUGAAUACAUUAGCAUGGAAUAAUAAUUUAGGACUUCGGUUCUAUUUUGUUGGUUUCUAGUACUGAAGUAAUGAUUGAUAGGGUCAGUUGGGGGUGCUAGUAUUCAGUGGCCAGAGGUGAAAUUCUCGGAUUCACUGAAGACUAACUUAUGCGAAAGCAUU
Molecule: ribosomal RNA, 322 nt
Filed under: uncultured Sandona
Lineage: Eukaryota; Cercozoa; Glissomonadida
Description: SSU rRNA
Rfam family: Eukaryotic small subunit ribosomal RNA (bases 115-322)
Source: RNAcentral